GGCGGCCGCGUGCCAGCCCCGGUCGCCGGUCGGAUGUUAGUCUGUCUCUGGUCGCGCAUGCGGUCGUACGUAGCACGCAGCACGGCCCUGCACGCGGUCUUCCUUCUCUAACUGAUCGAGACCGCCUUCCGAAUUCCGAUACCUCGAUCGAACGGGUCACUGAACGCUAUCAUCUGCGCUUCAUUUGGUACUUUGAUUAUUUACGUUCGAAUGAAGGAGCUCAGUUUAAUGGGCUUAGCGGUGAUGAACUUUCAGAUUUUGUGUGUAUUAUUGUGCUUAGGUUACUGACGCCGGUAAUUCAAUUAGGCUUAUAUUCGCACUUACGCAGUGUUGAGGAUUUACCUCGGUUUAACACGUUUUUUUUAAUUAAUCAAUUCAGUACUCGUAGUUGAAACGAAACUCAAUAAAAAUUAAAUUAAAUUUAAAACCCACUGAGAAAAAA
Manduca sexta (tobacco hornworm) is the source of this 442-nucleotide long non-coding RNA. RefSeq lists it as uncharacterized. The transcript has 2 exons. NCBI's taxonomy places the organism in Eukaryota, Metazoa, Arthropoda, Insecta, Lepidoptera, Sphingidae. The record is from RefSeq and is a predicted model, not a curated record.